RNA transcript from Hermetia illucens (black soldier fly), 1422 nucleotides. It is a transcript of the gene named E3 ubiquitin-protein ligase MARCHF3-like, with no coding region annotated. Lineage: Eukaryota; Metazoa; Arthropoda; Insecta; Diptera; Stratiomyidae. The transcript has 6 exons. The record is from RefSeq and is a predicted model, not a curated record.
ACCCCUGCCUUCAAAUUGACAAAUGACGUACAUUCAAUAAAAGUCAUUUUACUUGUUAACGGAAAUUCGUCAGAUGGUGGGUUUCAUAUAUUUGGGUAUUUGUAGACUUUGCUACAAAACUGUAUAAAUUAAAUUACCAAGAGAUGCAAAAUAGCAACGAAGGUAAAUUAUUUGCAAUCAAUUUGGACCCUUAUAUGCCACCGGUCUCUUCAGAAAGAAAUGAUCAAAAUCAGCCAGGAUCAAAGCUCGAGGUAGCCAUCCCGGAAGCAGGUUUACGCAUCACGGAAGAAUCUCAUUUGCCUCCUAGAAACAUCGUCGAAUACGUCAACACAAUUCACGAACAAGCCAUUAUUGCCACUACCAACGAGCGGAAUGAUAUCGUAGUGAAUAUUCCGAUCGAGACCACCAGAUUAGAUGGAGCGACGGCCAAUAUCAUGACGGAACCUUCCACACAGGCAGGUUUUAGAAACAUCACCCAUUCCGUGACUUGUACCAUUUCCAUCCGCUCAGUGGGGUCCGUCUGCUGCAGGAUCUGCCAUAACACAGACGGAAAUGACAGAUUAAUAUCUCCAUGCUUGUGCAAGGGGACCCUGGCGCACGUUCACCAGUCCUGUCUCGAACACUGGCUCAGUACAUCAGGCAUGGUACACUGCGAACUCUGCCAGUAUCGCUUUCCAACGGAGGAGACGCUAAGGUACACAUUUUGCCAAUCGAUCCGGAUAUGGUACAGGCACCCAAAUAACCGAGGACUUCUGCAGGCCGAUUGUCUCGUUUGCACCCUACUCACUGUGGUCACUUUUGGCCUUGUCGCCAUCUGCAUGCUGGGCCUGCAAUAUUUCAACUUGCAAAGCUACCGCUUGGGGGUGUCGCGGCUUUGGACGCAAGGGUCGAUAAUUGUGUUUCUCGUGAUUGUGAUAACAUUUCUUGUACCACGAGUCAUGUUGAUGCAUAUCUAUGUAGCCAACUUUCCGUCUAUUAUAAUCGAGAAAAAUGGUGGAAUCGACCAAGACUAGCCCACCCCGUUCCGGAAUGAAGAAGAAGAAAAUUGCAGAAUAAAGUCGUGGUCAUAAUAAAACUGGACAACCAGGCAUUGAUUGGAUUGGCCCAGAGUUAUUCCUUUUUGUACUACCUCUAUUCGAAUACUUUUGUCUGGGCUGUGUCCGCUAUACUAUGUUGUGUAUACGCUACGGGGUGGUAACGACUGGAGUUAAAAGUCGCGUCGAAUUAUAUGCGGCUAAUAAUUUCAACCGAAAAAACGAAAUAUUAAGGCAAACUUCAUAGAUGGAGUAGAAAAAAUACAAAUCGUGGUUUUAAAAGAAACUGGACUUUCAAAUCAUGAAAUUAGUCGCCAAAUUAUUAGACCGGAAUACGUGAUACAAAUUCUUUUCAAUUUAGCACCAAAUUCGGUAUUUCCGCAUCAAA